UACAGAGGGGGCAAGCGUUGUUCGGAAUUACUGGGCGUAAAGGGUGCGUAGGUGGCCGGGUAAGUCUGACGUGAAAUCUCCGAGCCUAACUCGGAAACUGCAUCGGAUACUAUCCGGCUUGAGGGUUGGAGGGGGGACUGGAAUACUUGGUGUAGCAGUGAAAUGCGUAGAUAUCAAGUGGAACACCAGUGGCGAAGGCGAGUCCCUGGACAACUCCUGACACUGAGGCACGAAAGCUAGGGGAGCAAACAGG
This 253-nucleotide ribosomal RNA is filed under the name uncultured bacterium. Its description in RNAcentral is "partial 16S ribosomal RNA". It matches the Rfam family "Bacterial small subunit ribosomal RNA", at positions 524 to 776 of the family's 1533-position model. The record is from RNAcentral.